AUUAGAUACCCUAUUAUUUUUGAUGUUAAUUUCUUGGCCUGAGUAGUAGUAGUUAUGUUCUUGAAACUUAAAGAAUUUGGCGGUAUCCUAUUCCUUUUAGAGGAAUCUGUCCCGUUAUCGAUAAUCCGCGUUGGACCUUACUUAGUUUUUUUGUUUGUAUACCUCCGUUCUGGUGAGAAUCUUUUUAGGGUUUAAUUUUCUUGAUUUUUGAUUUGUGAUUUUAUUUCAGGUCAAGGUGCAGCUUAUGGCUGAGGUGGUGAUGGAUUACAUUUGUUUUUGGUAUUGGUUUAUUGGUUGUAAUUCUGGUAUUAAAUUGGAUUUGAUUGUAAUUUGUUGAAGAUUGUAUUAAUGAAUUUGGCUCUGGGAUAUGUACACAUCGCCCG
Molecule: ribosomal RNA, 383 nt
Filed under: Cryptotermes sp. I05
Lineage: Eukaryota; Metazoa; Arthropoda; Insecta; Blattodea; Kalotermitidae
Description: partial 12S ribosomal RNA
Source: RNAcentral